This 74-nucleotide transfer RNA is filed under the name Patescibacteria group bacterium. RNAcentral describes it as "tRNA-His". It matches the Rfam family "tRNA". From Rfam's summary of the family: Transfer RNA (tRNA) molecules are approximately 80 nucleotides in length. Their secondary structure includes four short double-helical elements and three loops (D, anti-codon, and T loops). The record is from RNAcentral.
GUGCCCAUGGUGUAACGGCAACACUAGAGUUUGUGGAGCUCUCAUUACGGGUUCGAGUCCCGUUGGGCACCCCA